UAAAGAUGGGGAUCCUUCGGGACCUAUCGCUCGUUGAGGGGCUCGCGUACGAUCAGCUUGUUGGUGGGGUAACGGCUCACCAAGGCUACGACCGUUAGCUGGUCUGAGAGGAUGGUCAGCCACACUGGGACUGAGACACUGCCCAGACUCCUACGGGGAGGGCUGCAGUCGAGGAUCAUUCGCAAUGCGCGAAAGCGUGACGAUGCGACGCUGCGUGGAGGAUGACGGCCUUAGGGUUGUAAACUCCUGUCAUGCGGGAAGAACCAGCGGUGGGAUAAUAACCCCAUCGCUCUGACGGUACCGCAAGAGGAAGCCACGGCUAACUCUGUGCCAGCAGCCGCGGUAAUACAGAGGU
This 355-nucleotide ribosomal RNA is filed under the name uncultured bacterium. RNAcentral's name for it is "partial 16S ribosomal RNA". It matches the Rfam family "Bacterial small subunit ribosomal RNA", at positions 202 to 532 of the family's 1533-position model. The record is from RNAcentral.